GUUCGAUACGAUGCGGUUUUGGGGAUCCGAAGCUGAGCUCUCGCCACUCUCGGUGCUCCAUUUUGGCUCAAGACACCUCGAUCAGAUCGAGUCGAUCGACUUCAAGUUGGAUCUUUCAUGGAAAGUGUCGGUGUUCGUCUCUGUCUCUUUUUAUACAUCAAUUUUGACCCGGAAACUUUUAGCUAAGGUUUUCGGUAGUUCUAGAAACCCUGGGGUUUGAAUUCUAUUUCGUCCAGGCAUCACCCUCUUGCGCGGAGAGAGAAGCGCGGGCGUCGGAUGGCGGCCGUUGACGUUCACAUUGGCUCCCCAUAGGGAGGAUCUGAUGAGAAACCCCACCACAUUUUCGUCCUAGAUAAAAACCUUUAACAGGUAUCAGUGCACUUUGGAAGUCCUACGAUAAGCCCGGAACGAUUCCUGGAGUUCCUAGAAAGAAAUACUAGUCGAUGGUGAUCUUUGUCUGCUUAAGGUAUAUGCUGAACCCAAGCAUCAAACAAAUUUCCUGAUAGAGUUUUGUUCUUGGGCAGUGUUUUAAAGCCAUUUUGUAUCAUGAACAUGAAUGAAACUUUAGUUAGUGGCCCGUGACAUGAAAUAGUUGGGGCAUUAUGUGUAUAAACAGCAUAAAUUUUUAUUAGUGUAUGUGACAUCGCCAUAGUCGGAAAUCACAAGUCAAAUUGUCGGGACAUUGCCAACUCUUAGUCCAUCUACGUAAUGUGUAUAUAUGUACUUUUUCUUCAAACCAUAGUCAGUUACCAAGGAUCUUUUUUUUUUCCUUGAUGAAUUAUGACUGUCUAAGGCAAUCAACUUAAAUUUGGGCUCAAACCAAUAAUUAUCUUUGACAAAAUUAUUCUCUUGUUUAAUUCAACAAUAUAUGAGCUUGACAAAAAGGAAGAGUUUUGAGUUUCCGACAAAAGGCUGUGAAUGGAUUUCGUGAUUUGCAUUUGGAUAAGUUGUUUAGUUGUCUUUAUUUUAAAUUAUUUAAGAAUCUUAAUGUUUUUCGAAACUAGGAUUUUUUCCAGUUGGAAGUCCUUUUAAUCUUUCUUCCAAUUUAACUAAUUUUGAUAUUCAACACCUUUCUUCCAGUUCCAAUUUCUCUUACAUUAACAAUAACAGGUCAUGUUGAAGUGGGGGAAUAUAUUGAAGUGUUUGCAGCAUAUAUUGAAGUGUAUAAUUUGAGCAAUGCAUCAUCAGGUUAUGCACAUUAAAGUGUCUUUAUUGUUAGCAGUUCUGAGUGUACUUGCAAUGAUAGUUUGAGUUGGUUUCUUAUUUGUGUCAUAAUUUCCCAUCUUAUGGGACAAGACGAAGUCGAUUAUCUCUGGAGCAUUAUUGCUUAAAUUUAGAUUUUUCAUCCUUUGGUCUAAAGAUGUAGAACUACAACUUUAUAAUCCUAUUUCUUAACAUGGCUAAUACUAUAUUGUUACAGCUACUCCCCAACUAUUGUUUAUUGCCUCCCAUUCAUCUAUUGUCUUCUGAGUUUCUGUUUGAUUUUCAUCUUAAUUUUGUUUUAACACUUAUGUUGCUUGUAACCUGCAUGGUGGAGCUUCAACUAUAUACCAUCUGAGGAGUCUUUGUUAUGGAUUUCACCACCCUCCAACAUGUACAGAUAGGUAUGCUGGAGAAUCAAGAUCGCCGUACCGGUCCCUAUAAUGGACUCCGUUUCACUUCUCUCUGUCGCAGUUCUGAUUACCAGAUAUCAUCAAGCCCUUCAACGAGCCUUAUCAUCAAAAUAGUUUCUGAUCGUGGAGUAGGAUCAUCCAUUGCUGGAAUUUACUUGGUUCCCAUAAGCACUGAGGACCAUUAUCCAUGACGGUGAAGAUCUUUUGGUAACGUGUCAAUAAAUUAGCUGGAGUUCUUUUUCGCUUUAUGGUGCUGUGACAGGGCUGGAAGGAAACAAUUGCCCUGCCCACCCAUAUUGACCCCGCAGAACACAUCACAAGCAGUGGGGCAUGGCCUUCUGAGAGGGCAACAUCACAUUGCUUUCAAAUAUCUGUGUCCAGAUCAGCCAGAUGAGAUGACCACUCUUUGCAUCCCGAAAGAGGAGUCAAAAGGACAUGAGAAUGCGCUGAAGUCUUUUGGUGAAAGAGAUGUGAGAGCUUGGAAUCCUAUCCGAAGUUUCAGAGUGGGUGAAAAAGAAAGGAAGGAAUUGGGCAAAGGCAAAAGAGGGGGUGUGUGGGGGAGAUGGAGGAAUCCUCUACCAAAAGCUAAGAAACAAAGCUGGUUGACAAGAGCAACGGGUAAAAGGGCUUCAUCCCAUUGGAGGUUUGGCAUCAAGUGUUAGGAAUGUAUCACAUCAAUCAGAGUUCUCUCUUAUUCUUAGGAAGAAGUUAGAUCCCUAAAUGUUGGUACUAAGAAAAUGGCCAUUGAACCGGCAAGCCCAAGAUGUGAAGAUUUGCAAGGAUAUGGGGACAGCAUCAUGCUGGCUGUUAUGAGUCCCUGUCAUGUCCUCAAAGAAUAAUAUGAAUUGGUCAUAUCUUCUUCACCCAUCCAUGUCAGGUUGAAGGAAUUCCCUGCAAAUGGCCAACUCUUGAACAACCAUCGCAUUCUGAGGACCACCAGGGGGUGGGCAUGAGGAAAUGGAGAAAGAUGCAGGACUCGGUGGAUGACUUGUGUCAUCAGGACUAACAGUGGAUGGGGACAAUAAUUGCCCUCAUGCCUCCCAUUUAAAGCAGAGAUGGUGAGCGGGAAGGAGGAGGUUGGGGGAUAUCUUUCAGGCUGAAGAUGACAAACCGGGCAGGCAUGAUUGUGUGAAAUGGAGACGGCAGCAACUCCAAAUCGAAGGCACUUGAAAGCAACUUGUGUCGAAAGCUUCCCUGAAAGAGACCUGCUGUUCUGGUCAUGUACCCUGGAACAACCUGGCAGCAAAGCCACUCCACGAUACAGGGUGCAGCAUCACUUCCCAACAUCUCAAAAUGAUAGCAGUUUGGUGCUGGAUUAACUUGGAGCUCACAUGAUCUAUCUAACACAUCAGGAGACCACUAUCACAAGUAUGGGGGCUUCAUCUUAAAGCAGAAACAGCUGCCAUGUUGGCCCACAUUUUGUUGAUUGAGAUGGAGAGAUUGGAAACAUGGUUUAAUGGUGGACAUGUUUUUCCAUGGGAAACCAACUACAGAUAUGCUUGCAAAGCCAAGGGGGGCAACAAAAUGACUUCCAAUCUCACUGGUAUUUACUCCCUAACCCUAACCCUCUUCUAUCACUCAAUUACUGCACAGGAUAUUAAUAUCUUUUAGAAUCAAUUACUUGUCCGCUGAGUUCUUCUAUUUUACACUUUCUAUUUUGGAUGCUCACAAAUUAUCUGGUUUAGGUCCUCAUAUGAUAUAUAUUUCAUUAUAGCUUUGCCAUCUACCAAUAAGCUUCAAUCACUUUUAGUUGGUUCAUAUGGAUAAAAGUAUUGCAAGUACUAUAUGUAUGCUCUUUUGGUGGUGUCAUAAGAGCGUGGACCAUAUGAGAACAGUUAAGAGAGAGGGUCAAAUUAAUACUCCCAUAAAUUAAAUGAUGGUGGUCAUUAACUGUAUAUUCAUCAAAGUUUGUACUUGUCCUGAUGAGCAUGGAAUUUUUUUUUUUUUUGGAACCAAAUGCUUAAUGGCUUCGUUUGAUUGUGAUUUAUUACCCAACAUAUCUUAGACAAGCCAAAGCCACCUAAUCUCAACUGUUGCUCAUUACAACCUUCAUCAACAAAAUCCUAAUAACCCUACUAGAAUUCACUAACCAGUUUGUGAAUAAUGAUGAUGAUGGAUGACGCUAGAAAAAGGCUAAUUGUAGUUGGAACUUAAUCAAGAGCAUGUGACACAUAUCCAUUGUCAUAUAAUAUUCAACAAAUAAUACAGAUUGCAAAAUUAACUUACAAUAGAACAUUGAAAGAUUAAAAGGGGAAUGGAGACCAUAAGUAGAUGAAUCUUAAGAUUUUAGCCGAAGCGUAGGUAGUUUCUUCUCUUGCAGCUAGCAAUUGUGAGGAUGGAGGAAAAAGUGAAAGAGAAAUGGGAACUCAAAGACUUGUAAUACCAGGGAUUAGAUGACGCUCGACGAUUACACCCCAUGCUUCCCACCGUGGCCCGCAACGGUGCUGUGGGGGCUCACCUGACCCGGUCCCACCAGAUCAGUGCCCGUAAUGAUGGCGGUAGAUUUGGAGGGUCGCGAUCAUUUCGGCAACGGUGGGUCGGUGUCUUCGCCACGCCUGACAUCUUGCGUUGUCUUCUACCUGCGUUAUCCUGCGUCCACACUCUGCCAUCAAUGCAAGAUAUCAUUUCCCCACCUCGAAACCCUUAUCGACGGUGGCCCGAAGCAGCCAGGCGUGUCUUCACCGCCUCCCAUGUAUCUCUGUGGUCGUAUUACGAGUUCCACAUCAUCAUCUCCUUUACAUUUGUGUUCCUGUGCCAGGCCCUAGAUGCUCUGCUGCAUCUCCAAUGGCCAUGGAUUCAGAGCCUUCCAUGGACUAUUCACUGUUCCCUACCGCAUCAAUCAUACGCCCGGAACUCCACAUGGUGUGGGUGCUCAUGGAGGCCGUGGUCCUCCCUCUCUAUCUCUGUCUCUCUCUCUCUGUCUUUCUCUCAUUCACACACGUCCAUGGCCAUCCUAACCGACCUCGCUGGAAUACUUACAAACACUUGGUGAACGCAAGCCUGCCUUUUCCUGGGCAGCAGACGGGUGUAUAAUCAGUAGAAUCUCACUCAUGAGCGGAAUAGUAUUGCCAGCAGCGGUGGUUCAGCCUCCCAUGGCGUUAAAAGAGAAAAAGUAAAGAUUAUAUUACUCGGUACCAAAAUCUAAAAAGGUCUCGGAUUCUUGUGGUGCAGUGCCUGCGUCAUGAAUAAUGGUUUCCGUGGACGGAGGUGAACGGGCGGCUUCUGCGCAAGAGAAGCGAGGGAGAGGAACGUGAUGAUGGCCAUGCUCACGCUGUCGAUUACGACAAAGCGAGACGAAGACAAGCUGCGGAGCAGCAGCGGAAAAGCUGCUGCGCUGUAUCGUUCCGGUCUGGAUCUGAUUCCAAGAGACGGAGCGUCAACAACGCACGCUGUUGCCGUGCACUGUGCGGGUCAGCAAUCCAUUCUAUGCUUUUGGGUCGCUGUAAUCCACGAGCUAACUGCUGGGUAUUGGAUAGACCGUCACUGAUUCCGAGAAAGAGAAGCAUAGAAGAAAGGGCAGAUGUUGUGUUGUGGGAAGGCAUCUUUCUGCUCGUUGAUCCCUCUUUUGGGGAAACCUCCUUCAGCCAAUUGAUCUCCAGCAACCUGUUCUACGCUUCCCAUGUAGGCACAGAGCAGCACGACCACCACCUCCAUCCCCACCUUCACCUCGUCUCAGCUCAGGAUUACAGUGCCAGCAAUCGAUCCUGGUUGAGCGUGACAAUGACUCCACCCAUGAAACACAAGGCACCCACCCCCACUUGGUCAAAAGCUGGGUCGUAAGAAGAUAAAGCCUGUCACUGCCUCCAACGGGGAGCUGCUGCCUUGAGCAUAUAUCUUCGCCCCCCGGUGGCUUAAAAUUGGGUGAGAUGGGGACAGCUCCAAUUCCAAGGCAAAGCAAAGCUCAGCAGACCUCUGCAACUUUUCUUUUGGUGGUGACUUCCUGGUUGCAACAUCAAAAGGCCGGCCGGCAUUAAAGAAAGAGAAGCUGUGGCCACGAGCUACAAGACAUGGCGGAGUUUCUCCAGACAAGUCAACUGAUCUCUGCCGAGCCCACCGGAGAAAGCCGAAAAGCAAUUCGACGAAAGUCUGAUCCCCACCCCCCGAGAAAAGAGGGGGAAAGGGAUAUGCUGCUCAUCUCGAGGCCUCCCCCUUUCUCGAUACGGAUAUGUGCUUCGCCGUCCACAUCCAUCUCGAGGAAGAGGUGGAUGCAGAGUAAAUGCUUGUUUAAAUGCUCGCUCGCUCGCUCGCUGCAGGGAUUCGCAGGUGGCAGAUAAAGGUCGCCGCUUUGUCUUUUGUCUACCGAGCCAAGACAAAGGGACGCAUCGUUGAAGCCAUCGAUGCGGCGGGUUUGCUGAUC
This is a long non-coding RNA of Musa acuminata AAA Group (dessert banana), 5970 nucleotides long. RefSeq lists it as uncharacterized. The record is from RefSeq and is a predicted model, not a curated record. The transcript has 7 exons. Lineage: Eukaryota; Viridiplantae; Streptophyta; Magnoliopsida; Zingiberales; Musaceae.